RNAcentral lists this ribosomal RNA (267 nucleotides) under uncultured archaeon. RNAcentral's name for it is "partial 16S ribosomal RNA". It matches the Rfam family "Archaeal small subunit ribosomal RNA", at positions 716 to 982 of the family's 1478-position model. The record is from RNAcentral.
ACAGUCACUGACAUUAGAUACCCCCGGUAGUCCAGGGUGUAAACGCUGCAGACUUGGUGUUGGAAGCCCUUUGGGGGCAUUCAGUGCCGGAGAGAAGUUGUUAAGUCUGCUACUUGGGAGUACGUCCGCAAGGAUGAAACUUAAAGGAAUUGGCGGGGGGGCACCGCAACGGGAGGAGCGUGCGGUUUAAUUGGAUUCAACACCGUAAAACUCACCAGGGAAGACUGUUACAUGAAGGCCGAGAUGAAGACUCUGCUAGAUUUUCAG